GUGCCCGCAGCCCGGGGUAAUACGUGGGGGGCAUGCUUUUUCGUGAUUUAUUGCGCGUAAAGCGCGCGUAGGCGGUUUUUAAGUCUGAUGUGAAAGCCCACGGCUCAACCGUGGAGGGUCAUUGGAAACUGGAAAACUUGAGUGCAGAAGAGGAAAGUGGAAUUCCAUGUGUAGCGGUGAAAUGCGCAGAGAUAUGGAGGAACACCAGUGGCGAAGGCGACUUUCUGGUCUGUAACUGACGCUGAUGUGCGAAAGCGUGGGGAUCAAACAGGAUUAGAUACCCUGGUAGUCC
This 292-nucleotide ribosomal RNA is filed under the name uncultured microorganism. RNAcentral's name for it is "partial 16S ribosomal RNA". It matches the Rfam family "Bacterial small subunit ribosomal RNA", at positions 505 to 796 of the family's 1533-position model. The record is from RNAcentral.